ACGAAAUUUGGCGCGGCAUAAGCUACGCGAUUUUCCCGCGUUUCUACUUUCUCGCUUUUGUUUGGCUUCAGCCAUAUUUGCGGCAUUUGGGAGCUCUAUAGUCUUGGGCAUUUGUUGGUUGCAAGCCAUCUAUAGAGCUUUGUAAUUUGGUGGGUUGCGGGUUUUGUGGAGAUUGCUGCAGGGGAAUGACGUGGAUCUUUAUAAUGUAACGGAGCUUACGACUGCUGGAAUAUUGUGCAGUGAUCUAUAGCUCAGUUUUGUGAAACAUAAGCUUGUCUUUUCUUGAAAUCUCGCCGCCGCGCCGCGCGAUGACGGGCGGCCAGAAGUUCUGUCUGCGCUGGGACGGCUUCAAGUCGCGGCUGUCGUCAGUGUUUGACGAACUGCGCCGGGAGGAAGAGCUGCUGGACGUGACACUCUGCUGCGAUGGCGGACACGCCGUCAAGGCCCACCAGAUCCUGCUGUCGGCCAGCAGUCCCAGCCUCCGCCAGCUGCUCAAGUCGAACCCAUGUCAGCACCCGGUGUUCUUCCUGAAGGAGACCUCGGCGGAGGACCUGCAUGCCAUUAUCCAGUUCAUCUACUGCGGAGAGGUGAACGUGGUCCAGAGCCAGCUGGCCAGCUUCAUCAAGACGGCAGAGAUGCUGCAGAUCAGGGGUCUGAGCGGCGACAGCGACGGAGAUGAAGAUCAGACACCGACUGCUACGGCGCCGCGGCAGAGCUCGGCGCCGCCACCUCGCGAGGCGGAUCAGCCCGCACCCGCCGAGGCUCGACCGAGCAAACGACGACGCCGCCGCUCCAGUGGAACGUCCGACCUGUCCGCGACCUAUGACGCAUCCUCGAGCGCGUCCGCCACCGCAUCCGUGACCGCAUCCUCCAAGACCGCCGCCGGCGGCGUCCCUGCUGCCGCCUCCGCCGCUGCCACCGGCUCCAAGUCUGCUAUUCCGUCAACUAACGUCAGCACAGAUAACAGAGUGGUCGCAGAUGUCCCGAAAGCCGCAUCCGCCUCGGUGAUCGCUGCUGAUGUGAACGUUGUCAGCCUGGAUGAUAUAAAGACUGAGCAGGUGGAUCUCUCAGAUGACGAAGGGCGCUCUAUGGAUGACCCGCUGGGCUUCUUCUCGAGCUUUGAGGGACAUGUCGAUGCCAGCAGUGCCGCCGGCCCGUCGUCUCGCCACUCGCAUGGAGGACCGUCCACAGCUGCAGGGCCGUCAGGACAGGCUGGAGCGACGGCAGCGGGUGAACCAACUGCGCAAGAGGGGUGUCGAUCUCUCCGGAAGACGCGGGGAUCCAACCAGCGUCAGUCCAGUGACGCCAACGUAUUCGCGGUGAUUGAUUUCGACGAGUCACCGAGGAGACCUGUGCCGCCGGCACCGUUCAAAAACUUUCGGUCAGCAGUGGAAGUGAACAACCUAGAGUUUCUCAAAUGGCUACCGGAGGAAAAACGCCGAAGUCUUCCUGUACUAACCAUGGCAGAGGUUACGACACCUGAGCUGGAUGUUCGAAUUCUGUCCUCCAACAUUCUCCAGAAGCUGGCCAGCCAAGAGCCUUUGCUGGAAAUCGAUUGGCGAGAGAUGAUGCAGUCCAUUCACAAGCGAUAUUUGCCUUACGAUCACUAGUAUGUAUGGAUUGUGCAUUCGCAAAGCUCGUCACUGGUAUCUGGCCAUGGCUCAGUCCAUCAUCGACCAGUUUCCGUCCGCGCUCCCUAAAAUGCAGAGACGCGAUGCGCUGGACAUUGUUUUUGGUCGGGUGAAGAACAAGUUUAGGAACAGUCGAAAAUCAACAGACAAGACUAAGAAGCGGCAAAGACUCUCUGGUGUAGAACGCACGCCAGGGUCCUCUACUGCGCGGCGAAACAGUGACGAGAAAGCGACUGAGGCGUCAAAUGACCCCAAUAUCACAUCACUGGAGCAACAGAGUGACGGGAGCACUGGGGCGAAGGGAAGUGAUGUCAAGGCGACCAGUACGCCGCAAAUCCCCGACAUAGACCAAGUCUCAGAUCAUGGUUCUGAAGAACCAUUAAUAGCAGAUGAUGUGGACGUUAGUGAGGAAGAAGAUAGCGAUGAAGCUACGUAGAGGUCAAUUGUUCGCAUUUCAAUACCGAUGAAGUGAAUCGAUCCCGCGUCCUUCGUAAACAGUUGAGAGUGCGUGGAGUGCGGCCAUAAUAGGGGUAUGACGUUUUUAGAUGUGUGUGACUAGGAAUGGUUGGUGUGCUGAAUGAGCUAUCACUGUCUUGAGGAAAACAGGCUGCUAUGCAGUCAUGAAAUUGGAUGCUGAGGAAUAUAAUCAGCAUUUAGCUGACUCUGCAGCUACCCCUUAAUAAGUUUUAUUCAAGUUUUACGUUGAUAUUUAUGUCUGGGUGAGAUAUGCAACCCUAGUUUCUGUAGGUAUAUCAUGGAUUUUUUCAUCUUUUGCUGUCCUCAAUACAAAUUGAAACGUUA
Molecule: unclassified non-coding RNA, 2432 nt
Filed under: Amphibalanus amphitrite
Lineage: Eukaryota; Metazoa; Arthropoda; Thecostraca; Balanomorpha; Balanidae
Description: protein bric-a-brac 2-like, transcript variant X3
Source: RNAcentral